UUGGAGGAAUGUUGCGUCUCACUAAAGAAGCCAGUGAGUGGUCAUCAGUUUUGAGAAAUGGUCUCUGGAACUUAAACGGAGAUGAAAAUGCGGUCUUGCAAGUACUGAAGCUGAGUUUUGUUCAUUUGCCAUCAACAUCUGUAAAGAAGUGUUUCGCAUAUUGUUCAAUUUUCAGUCGGGAUCAUGACAUUGAAAAGGAUCAAAUGGUUCAAUUAUGGAUGGCCGAAGGAUUUCUCCAACCGAGCCAAGGAGAUCAUUUGAAAAUGGAAAGCUUGGGAAAUGAGUUUUUCAACAUCUUGUCGCAAAAUUCUCUAUUGCAGGAUGUGAAAAGAGAUGACUAUGGUAACAUUACCCAUUGUAAGAUGCACAACCUUGUUCAUGCUCUUGCACAAUCAAUUUCGAGAUAUGAAGGAUUUAAUGUAGGGUCCAGUGCAGGAGAUGGCCAUCCACAUGUUCGGUAUCUUUCAAUGGAGUCUUUAAAGGAAUCAAUGCCUUCAGUUGUUAAGGAAAAAGCAAGAUCUCUACGCACCUUGUUUUUAGCAGAUAAUGUUUCCGGGAGCAUAUUAUCAAACUUUAAGUAUUUGCGUGUAUUAAGUUUCCAUGGUGUUGACAUUGUUGAGGUACCCUCAUCAAUCAGCAAGCUAAUACAUUUAAGAUAUCUUGAUCUAUCAGGCACCAAAAUUCGAACUUUGCCAGAUUCAAUUUGCAUGCUUUUUAAUCUACAGACUUUGAGACUAAAUGGAUGUGACUUUCUUGAAGGGAUUCCGACUCAGUUGAGCAAGUUGAAUAACUUGAGACACCUUUACUAUUAUUCGUUCGAAGAAACUUGCGCAAUGCCAUUCAAGAUGGGACAGUUAACUUGUUUGCAAACAUUGCAGUUCUUCAAUGUUGAUUAUGCUGGUGGUCAUCGAAUUUCAGAGAUUGGAUUUUUGAAGGAUCUUGGAGGGGAGCUGGAAAUAAGAAAUCUUGAGAAAGUAAAUAAUCAGCAAGAAGCUCGAAGUGCAGAUCUGUCUAGGAAGGAAAAUGUUCAUAAGUUAAUAUUUGAAUGGAGCAGCGGGAGGCGAGGCGCAAUCAGUGAUGAUUUUGUCUUGGCAGGCCUUGAACCUCAUCCAAAUUUGAAGAGCUUGAUGGUCAAGAACUUCAUGGGUGCCAAGUUACCAACAUGGAUUAUGACAAUGAUGGUCAGUACUGUUGAGGGAAACUUAUUGGGAUUAGAUAAUCUGGUGGAGAUCAAAUUGAAAGGCUGUAGAAAGUGUGAAGAACUACCGAUGCUUGGGCACCUACCGCAUCUCAAAUAUCUAGACCUCACUGGACUGGAUAAUUUGAAAAGCAUUAAUCGUUCUUUUUAUGGUGAUGAUUUUCUCAGAUCAAGAACCUAUGAAGGUGAUAAUGCAAAUAUAGCAUUAUUCAGAGCACUAAAAAGACUCAUUUUCUGCGACUUGCCCAACUUAGUUGAGUGGAUUGGACCAGAAGAGGUGACAACAGAAAAGGAACAUGUGAAGGUGUUCCCUCACUUGGAGGAAAUAGAGAUACAGAACUGUUCACAAUUAACUACCACGCCUUAUUCUUUCCCCGGCCUGGAGGAAUUCAGGAUUUCAAAUGUUAGCAGUUACCAGCCCUUGGAAAAUAUAUGCAGCAGUAGCAGUAACUCAUCAAGUCUUACAUUCCUACAAAUCGAUGGACUGCUGGAGCUUGCUUGCCUUCCAGACAAUCUUCUUAACAAUAUAAAGAAUCUGGUAUAUCUGGCUAUACAUAAAUGUCCCAAUCUAGUGCAUGUUGUUCCACGUGUGAGGGGUUUUGGCUCCUUUCUUCGCGUGUUAGAUAUCAAUGAGUGCACAAACCUCAGCACAUUGCCUGAUGAUCUACAAACUCUUCAAUCUCUUGCAAUGCUUUGGAUAUCUAGAUGUCCAAAAAUUACAUCAAUUCCAAGCUUGGAAGGCCUGAAGACCCUUGAAGAGCUGAAAAUCAGUUACUGUAACGAGUUGGCUUCUCUACCAAAUGAAAUGCUACUGUCCUGCAUGUCUCUCAAGUCUUUGAGCGUAGAAAACUGUGCUAAUUUGACCUCUUUUCCGGACUUGCAACAGUUGAAUUCCCUUUUAUCAUUGAGAAUUGUUGAUUGUCCCCAGCUGACUCGUCUCCCCAAGGGGCUUCAUUCUCUUUCUUGCUUAAACUACUUAAGGAUUGGUCCAUUUUCAGAGGAUCUCACUUCAUUCCCGAUUCUUGAUUAUGAUGACACUCCUAGUAGUGAGAUACAUGAGGAAAACUUUCAACUUUUCUCUCUUAGAUGUUUAACACUAUUUGGGCGACCUCAUUGGGACUCGUUGCCUGCAUGGCUUCAAAAUCUUACUUCUUUAGCUGAACUGCAUCUUUAUGAUUUUGGAUUUGAAGCUGUGCCUGAAUGGAUAAAAAGCAUGUCUUCCCUAGAGCGAUUGGGCCUAUACUUGUGUGAAAAGCUAACUUUUCUUCCCUCCGUUGAAGCCACAAAAUGCCUUGUGAAACUAAGGGAAGUGGAGAUUUACAAUUGCCCCUUAUUGAGUGAAAGAUGCUCUUCUUUGAGUGGUGCUAAUUCUGAAUGGUUCAAGAUUUCUCAUAUAAACCAAAUCAAAGUCGACGGCAAACAAAUCAUGCCCGAGCCUUCUUAUGAAGUGUUACCAUCUCCAACUCUCACAAAAAAGAAAAGACCGAAAUCUAAAGAGGAAGAAAUGAGGUGAAGAACAACGACUAGUGUGGGGAAGCGAUCAAAGAUGAGAGAAAAAUGAGGAAAUCUUGCUUAAUGGGGUGGAAGUUGUGACUGGAUCAGUUAUGGGGCCUAUGGUGAGGUAAGCUGGCAAAAAAUACUUGGCCGUGGUCCCUGGAGAAGUACUCUUGGCUUCACUUGAUCCUGUCAUUGGCAUCUUAUUUGGACUUCAGGCAUCAACAAGAAAAUGGUAGGUUCCCAUUAUCAGGCUGAAGAAACAAAAGAUGUUUCUCUCUAAUGACUUAUUGGUAAUGAAACUGAUUUGAAUCCAAAUAACUGGCAAUAGAUGCAAUAAGAAGCACCGAAUUGCAUCUGACUUGAAGGCACAGCAUGUUCUUCCAGAAUGAUACUGGAAAUUAUUGUAGCCUUCCUCCUUGUGUAUUUGUUUAUAAGUUAGCUUUCAAGAGACUGGAUAUGAGCAUUGAUCUGUGAAUGCCAUCCCCUUUUUAGACGGCUUUCAAACGUCACAGUUAGAUGAAUGAAGGCUUUCUAGAAAGAACAUGGAUGAAAUUGUGCUCACUGGCCCUGUUGCUAGCUUUCAAUUGGAUUACUUCGUUUUACAUUUGCAUUCAUCUUAUCCUUCUGGUUUGAAUAACAUUUGUUAGCGCUUGAACUACUAGUGCAAAAGCAUAGUUGUCUUCUGCUUGAUUGCCCCAUAACCUUUUAUUUUAUUUCAAGUUGCGUCUUGUAUCAGUUGUACUCAGAUUCUUAGAUUGCCCCAUAACUUAGUAUUUUGAAUAUUUGCGUUCA
This is an RNA transcript of Lycium barbarum (goji berry), 3487 nucleotides long. It is a transcript of the gene named putative disease resistance protein RGA3, with no coding region annotated. The record is from RefSeq and is a predicted model, not a curated record. The transcript has 3 exons. Lineage: Eukaryota; Viridiplantae; Streptophyta; Magnoliopsida; Solanales; Solanaceae.